CCUACGGGGGGCAGCAGUGGGGAAUAUUGGGCAAUGGGCGCAAGCCUGACCCAGCAAUGCCGCGUGAAGGAAGAAGGCUUUCGGGUUGUAAACUUCUUUGACAGGGGAAGAGCAGAAGACGGUACCCUGAAAACAAGCCACGGCUAACUACGUGCCAGCAGCCGCGGUAAUACGUAGGUGGCAAGCGUUGUCCGGAUUUACUGGGUGUAAAGGGUGUGUAGGCGGGAAGGCAAGUCAGAUGUGAAAUCUGGAGGCUCAACCUCCUAAUUGCCUUUGAAACUGUUUUUCUUGAGUACUGGAGAGGCAGACGGAAUUCCUGGUGUAGCGGUGAAAUGCGUAGAUAUAAGGAAGAACACCAGUGGCGAAGGCGGAUGACUGGACGGCAACUGACGGUGAGGCGCGAAAGCGUGGGGAGCAAACAGGAUUAGAUACCCUUGUAGUC
RNAcentral lists this ribosomal RNA (442 nucleotides) under uncultured bacterium. Its description in RNAcentral is "partial 16S ribosomal RNA". It matches the Rfam family "Bacterial small subunit ribosomal RNA", at positions 338 to 795 of the family's 1533-position model. The record is from RNAcentral.